AACGCACAUUGCGCCCAUUAGUAUUCUAGUGGGCAUGCCUGUUCGAGCGUCAUUAAAACCCUUAAGCCCUGUUGCUUAGCGUUGGGAGCCUGCUGCGCGCAAGCCUGCAGCUCCUCAAAGUUAGUGGCGGAGUCAGUAUACUCUAGGCGUAGUAAUUUUCAACUCGCUUCUGUGGUUAUGCUGGCGCCCUGCCGUAAAACACCCAACUUCCAAAGUUUGACCUCGGAUCAGGUAGGAAUACCCGCUGAACUUAA
This 254-nucleotide unclassified non-coding RNA is filed under the name uncultured fungus. RNAcentral's name for it is "sequence contains ITS2". Lineage: Eukaryota; Fungi. The record is from RNAcentral.